UCAAGUGAAUAAGUGCAUCAGGUGGAUGCCUUGGCGAUGAUAGGCGACGAAGGACGUGUAAGCCUGCGAAAAGCGUGGGGGAGCUGGCAAUAAAGCUAUGAUCCCGCGAUAUCCGAAUGGGGAAACCCACUGCAUUCUGUGCAGUAUCCUAAGUUGAAUACAUAGACUUAGAGAAGCGAACCCGGAGAACUGAACCAUCUAAGUACCCGGAGGAAAAGAAAUCAACCGAGAUUCCGCAAGUAGUGGCGAGCGAACGCGGAGGAGCCUGUACGUAAUAACUGUCGAGAUAGAAGAACAAGCUGGGAAGCUUGACCAUAGUGGGUGAUAGUCCCGUAUUCGAAAUCUCAACAGUGGUACUAAGCGUACGAAAAGUAGGGCGGGACACGUGAAAUCCUGUCUGAAUAUGGGGGGACCAUCCUCCAAGGCUAAAUACUCAUCAUCGACCGAUAGUGAACCAGUACCGUGAGGGAAAGGCGAAAAGAACCCCGGGAGGGGAGUGAAAUAGAACCUGAAACCUGAUGCAUACAAACAGUGGGAGCACCCUUAUGGUGUGACUGCGUACCUUUUGUAUAAUGGGUCAACGACUUACAUUCAGUAGCGAGCUUAACCGAAUAGGGGAGGCGUAGGGAAACCGAGUCUUAAUAGGGCGAAGAGUUGCUGGGUGUAGACCCGAAACCGAGUGAUCUAUCCAUGGCCAGGUUGAAGGUGCCGUAACAGGUACUGGAGGACCGAACCCACGCAUGUUGCAAAAUGCGGGGAUGAGCUGUGGAUAGGGGUGAAAGGCUAAACAAACUCGGAGAUAGCUGGUUCUCCCCGAAAACUAUUUAGGUAGUGCCUCGAGCAAGACACUGAUGGGGGUAAAGCACUGUUAUGGCUAGGGGGUUAUUGCAACUUACCAACCCAUGGCAAACUAAGAAUACCAUCAAGUGGUUCCUCGGGAGACAGACAGCGGGUGCUAACGUCCGUUGUCAAGAGGGAAACAACCCAGACCGCCAGCUAAGGUCCCAAAUGAUAGAUUAAGUGGUAAACGAAGUGGGAAGGCCCAGACAGCCAGGAUGUUGGCUUAGAAGCAGCCAUCAUUUAAAGAAAGCGUAAUAGCUCACUGGUCGAGUCGUCCUGCGCGGAAGAUGUAACGGGGCUCAAAUCUAUAACCGAAGCUGCGGAUGCCAGUUUACUGGUAUGGUAGGGGAGCGUUCUGUAGGCCGAUGAAGGUGCAUUGUAAAGUGUGCUGGAGGUAUCAGAAGUGCGAAUGUUGACAUGAGUAGCGAUAAAGCGGGUGAAAAGCCCGCUCGCCGAAAGCCCAAGGUUUCCUACGCAACGUUCAUCGGCGUAGGGUGAGUCGGCCCCUAAGGCGAGGCAGAGAUGCGUAGUCGAUGGGAAACAGGUUAAUAUUCCUGUACUUGAUUCAAAUGCGAUGUGGGGACGGAGAAGGUUAGGUUAGCAAGCUGUUGGAAUAGCUUGUUUAAGCCGGUAGGUGGAAGACUUAGGCAAAUCCGGGUCUUCUUAACACCGAGAAGUGAUGACGAGUGUCUACGGACAUGAAGUAACCAAUACCACGCUUCCAGGAAAAGCCACUAAGCUUCAGUUUGAAUCGAACCGUACCGCAAACCGACACAGGUGGGCAGGAUGAGAAUUCUAAGGCGCUUGAGAGAACUCAGGAGAAGGAACUCGGCAAAUUGAUACCGUAACUUCGGGAGAAGGUAUGCCCUCUAGGGUGAAGGAUUUACUCCGUAAGCUUUGGAGGGUCGCAGAGAAUCGGUGGCUGCGACUGUUUAUUAAAAACACAGCACUCUGCAAACACGAAAGUGGACGUAUAGGGUGUGACGCCUGCCCGGUGCUGGAAGGUUAAUUGAAGAUGUGCAAGCAUCGGAUCGAAGCCCCAGUAAACGGCGGCCGUAACUAUAACGGUCCUAAGGUAGCGAAAUUCCUUGUCGGGU
RNAcentral lists this ribosomal RNA (1937 nucleotides) under human metagenome. RNAcentral's name for it is "bacterial LSU rRNA". It matches the Rfam family "Bacterial large subunit ribosomal RNA", at positions 3 to 1977 of the family's 2925-position model. The record is from RNAcentral.